This 531-nucleotide ribosomal RNA is filed under the name uncultured bacterium. RNAcentral's name for it is "SSU rRNA". It matches the Rfam family "Bacterial small subunit ribosomal RNA", at positions 406 to 915 of the family's 1533-position model. The record is from RNAcentral.
GAGAGAAGCUCUUCGGGGUGUAAACCGCUGUUGCCCGGAACGAAACUCCACUUUCAAGUGGAUUGACGGUACCGGGUGAGGAAGCGCCGGCUAACUCUGUGCCAGCAGCCGCGGUAAUACAGAGGGCGCGAGCGUUGUCCGGAAUCACUGGGCGUAAAGGGCGCGUAGGUGGCGGCAUAAGGCCGCGGUGAAAGUCUGGGGCUCAACCCCAGAUCGGCCGCGGCGACUGUGUCGCUUGGGCACCGUAGAGGCAGAUGGAAUUCCCGGUAUAGCGGUGGAAUGCGUAGAGAUCGGGAAGAACACCAGUGGCGAAGGCGGUCUGCUGGGCGGUGGGGCUCGCAAGAGUCCUUAUAGCCGACACUGUGGCGCGACAGCGUGGGGAGCAAACAGGAUUAGAUACCCUGGUAGUCCACGCCGUAAACGAUGGGCACUAGGUGCUUUGGGGAGCGACCCCCGAGGUACCGGCGCUAACGCAUGAAGUGCCCCGCCUGGGGAGUACGGCCGCAAGGCUGAAACUCAAAGGAAUUGACG